RNAcentral lists this ribosomal RNA (429 nucleotides) under Bacteroidota bacterium. RNAcentral's name for it is "Bacteroidetes bacterium partial 16S ribosomal RNA". It matches the Rfam family "Bacterial small subunit ribosomal RNA", at positions 355 to 776 of the family's 1533-position model. Lineage: Bacteria; Pseudomonadati; Bacteroidota. The record is from RNAcentral.
UAGGGAAUCUUCCGCAAUGGACGCAAGUCUGACGGAGCAACGCCGCGUGAGUGAAGAAGGAUUUCGGUUCGUAAAACUCUGUUGUUAGAGAAGAACAGCGCAUAGAGUAACUGUUAUGCGUGUGACGGUAUCUAACCAGAAAGCCACGGCUAACUACGUGCCAGCAGCCGCGGUAAUACGUAGGUGGCAAGCGUUGUCCGGAUUUAUUGGGCGUAAAGCGAGCGCAGGCGGUCAAUUAAGUCUGAUGUGAAAGCCACCGGCUCAACCGGGGAGAGUCAUUGGAAACUGGUUAACUUGAGUGCAGAAGAAGAGUAUGGAAUUCCAUGUAUAGCAGUUAAAUGCGUAGAUAUAUGGAGGAACACCAGUGGCAAAGGCGACUCUCUGGUCUGUAACUGACACUGAGGCUCGAAAGCGUGGGUAGCAAACAGU